Molecule: long non-coding RNA, 775 nt
Organism: Gastrolobium bilobum
Lineage: Eukaryota; Viridiplantae; Streptophyta; Magnoliopsida; Fabales; Fabaceae
Exons: 5
Source: RefSeq, a predicted model, not a curated record
UUCAGAAUUCAAGCACCCUAUUUUCUUCUUACAAGACCGCAAACCUCCAUGGAGAAGAAUCCAUUAACUAGCUCACAAUUUCUUUCUUCUCAUGCACAUACUCAGCUGAACCCCAAACAGCAACCUUGCAUGUUCUUUCUUUCCCAUCCUUUUUCCACAAGUCGCACAUCAUUAGGAGGGAGCAUGAAAACAUAAGCACACAUCCUUCAUUCCUCUCCCAUGGUGCGCACGACCGAACAACUAGGAGGACCUGAACUCAGCCUCUUGAAGAGCAGAAGGGUGAGGGAAACCACACCUCACUUGGUGAGCGCCUUCCUCUAGCGGAUUUGGGAGUCUUGUGCACAUGCAAGAAGCCGUACAACUCUUGACCUUUGGGUGCAUGCAAGCGAAUUAGAUUUUUGAGCUUGGAAGGUGCCCAAGUCUCUAAUAAAAAAGGGCUGACUUGGUGAGAUUUUGGUUGGAACUCUAAAUUAUCAAGAGGACGUAGAAGUAUUUGAUGACGUGAUUACAUGGAAAUAUUCUGUUUAAGUUCUGCUGUUUGAAAACCCUGCUGCUUGUUCACUGUUUCUGAUUGGUUGUGUACUGGACAUUUGACCUUGAUGAAGUAUUUUGGAGAUUGGCAUGUUAUGAUUCGUAUUCUGUUUUGAAACGUGUUGUAGACUGAUUUUUAUAUUUCGUCUGAAACUUAUGUGAUUCUGGUAUUUAAAUUGUCAAAACAAUUUCUGCUGUAUUUAAAUUCGGAUUUUUGAACUGAUUUAGCGAGCACAUUGCGAGU